RNAcentral lists this ribosomal RNA (585 nucleotides) under uncultured bacterium. RNAcentral describes it as "partial 16S ribosomal RNA". It matches the Rfam family "Bacterial small subunit ribosomal RNA", at positions 355 to 937 of the family's 1533-position model. The record is from RNAcentral.
UGGGGAAUUUUGGACAAUGGGCGAAAGCCUGAUCCAGCAAUGCCGCGUGUGUGAAGAAGGCCUUCGGGUUGUAAAGCACUUUUGUCCGGAAAGAAAUCCUUGGCUCUAAUACAGUCGGGGGAUGACGGUACCGGAAGAAUAAGCACCGGCUAACUACGUGCCAGCAGCCGCGGUAAUACGUAGGGUGCAAGCGUUAAUCGGAAUUACUGGGCGUAAGCGUGCGCAGGCGGUUUGCUAAGACCGAUGUGAAAUCCCCGGGCUCAACCUGGGAACUGCAUUGGUGACUGGCAGGCUAGAGUAUGGCAGAGGGGGGUAGAAUUCCACGUGUAGCAGUGAAAUGCGUAGAGAUGUGGAGGAAUACCGAUGGCGAAGGCAGCCCCCUGGGCCAAUACUGACGCUCAUGCACGAAAGCGUGGAGAGCAAACAGGAUUAGAUACCCUGGUAGUCCACGCCCUAAACGAUGUCAACUAGUUGUUGGGGCAUUCAUUUUCCUUAGUAACGUAGCUAACGCGUGAAGUUGACCGCCUGGGGAGUACGGUCGCAAGAUUAAAACUCAAAGGAAUUGACGGGGUCAUAGCUGUUUCC